Molecule: ribosomal RNA, 1314 nt
Filed under: metagenome
Description: bacterial SSU rRNA
Rfam family: Bacterial small subunit ribosomal RNA
Source: RNAcentral
CGCGUGGGUAAUCUACCCCUGAAUCUGGAAUAACAUUGCGAAAGCGAUGCUAAUACCGGAUAACAUCAAAAAAUCCUUGGCUUUUUUGAUCAAAGAGGGUCUCUACAUGUAAGCUUUUGUUUAGGGAUGAGCCCGCGUACCAUUAGCUUGUUGGUAGGGUAACGGCCUACCAAGGCUACGAUGGUAGCUGGUCUGAGAGGAUGAUCAGCCACACUGGAACUGACACACGGUCCAGACUCCUACGGGAGGCAGCAGUGGGGAAUUUUGCGCAAUGGGGGAAACCCUGACGCAGCAACGCCGCGUGAGUGAUGAAGGCGUUCGGGUCGUAAAGCUCUGUCAAGUGGGAAGAACCGGAAAAAUAUUAAAAUGUUUUUCUCUGACGGUACCACUGAAGGAAGCACCGGCUAACUCCGUGCCAGCAGCCGCGGUAAUACGGGGGGUGCAAGCGUUAUUCGGAAUUAUUGGGCGUAAAGAGCGCGUAGGCGGUUUUUUAAGUCAGAUGUGAAAGCCCGGGGCUUAACCCCGGAAGUGCAUUUGAAACUAAAGAACUUGAGUAUGGGAGAGGGAAGUGGAAUUCCUGGUGUAGCGGUGAAAUGCGUAGAUAUCAGGAGGAACACCGGUGGCGAAGGCGACUUCCUGGACCAAUACUGACGCUGAGGCGCGAAGGCGUGGGGAGCAAACAGGAUUAGAUACCCUGGUAGUCCACGCAGUAAACUGUGAACACUAGGUGUAGCGGGUAUUGACCCCUGCUGUGCCGCAGCUAACGCAUUAAGUGUUCCGCCUGGGGAGUACGAUCGCAAGGUUAAAACUCAAAGGAAUUGACGGGGGCCCGCACAAGCGGUGGAGCAUGUGGUUUAAUUCGACGCAACGCGAAGAACCUUACCUGGAUUUGACAUCCCGGGAAUUCUUUCGAAAGACAGAAGUGCCCUUCGGGGAACCCGGUGACAGGUGCUGCAUGGCUGUCGUCAGCUCGUGUCGUGAGAUGUUGGGUUAAGUCCCGCAACGAGCGCAACCCUUAUCUUUAGUUACCAUCAUUCAGUUGGGGACUCUAAAGACACUGCCCCGGUUAACGGGGAGGAAGGUGGGGAUGACGUCAAGUCCUCAUGGCCUUUAUGUCCAGGGCUACACACGUGCUACAAUGGGCUGUACAGAGGGUCGCGACCCCGCGAGGGUGAGCCAAUCCCAAAAAGCAGUUCGUAGUUCGGAUUGGAGUCUGCAAUUCGACUCCAUGAAGCUGGAAUCGCUAGUAAUCGCGGAUCAGCAUGCCGCGGUGAAUCCGUUCCCGGGCCUUGUACACACCGCCCGUCACACCAC